GACGAACGCUGGCGGCGUGCUUAACACAUGCAAGUCGAACGCUGAAGCUCAGCUUUUGUUGGGUGGAUGAGUGGCGAACGGGUGAGUAACACGUGAGUAACCUGCCCCCUUCUUUGGGAUAACGCCCGGAAACGGGUGCUAAUACUGGAUAUUCACUGGUCUUCGCAUGGGGGUUGGUGGAAAGGGUUUUUCUGGUGGGGGAUGGGCUCGCGGCCUAUCAGCUUGUUGGUGGGGUGAUGGCCUACCCAGGCUUUGACGGGUAGCCGGCCUGAGAGGGUGACCGGUCACAUUGGGACGGAGAUACGGCCCAGACUCCUACGGGAGGCAGCAGUGGGGAAUAUUGCACAAUGGGCGCAAGCCUGAUGCAGCGACGCCGCGUGAGGGAUGGAGGCCUUCGGGUUGUGAACCUCUUUCGCUCAUGGUCAAGCCGCAACAAUGGUUGUGGUGAGGGUAGUGGGUAAAGAAGCGCCGGCUAACUACGUG
This 483-nucleotide ribosomal RNA is filed under the name uncultured bacterium. RNAcentral's name for it is "partial 16S ribosomal RNA". It matches the Rfam family "Bacterial small subunit ribosomal RNA", at positions 28 to 507 of the family's 1533-position model. The record is from RNAcentral.